UAACCUGCGGAAGGAUCAUUG
RNAcentral lists this ribosomal RNA (21 nucleotides) under Dicranoloma menziesii. Its description in RNAcentral is "partial 18S ribosomal RNA". RNAcentral also lists the same sequence under 5 other names. The record is from RNAcentral. Lineage: Eukaryota; Viridiplantae; Streptophyta; Bryopsida; Dicranales; Dicranaceae.